GGUAAUUUACCUGCUGAAGGAACUGAACAGUUCAGUUCCUCUGCAAGGCAUGAGAAACAUCCUGUCAGAGUAUUACUCUCAGGAUACAGAGAAAGGAAUACCAAAAAGCUUGGGUGAGUAUAACAGCAGAGGCUGCAUGUACAAAGCAAGAUAAGGGUUGUACAAAUGUGGGAGGUAUGAAGUAGAGAUGGGGAGGGGCUUUCCAAUUCAUUUGCCAUAAAUAACAUCAGAGUGUCAGCAAUUGCAAAAAGCGUGGUUAUCAAAUGUACUGGUGAUUAUACUUGGCCACACUCCAGUACUCGAUCCACCACUUCUUCCUGUUAAGCAUCACAUCCUCUUAACUCUUGACUGCAAGGAAUAGACUCCGUGAUUAGAAGGAUAAAUGUAAAAUAAAUGUGCUGUGAGGACCACUAAAAGAAAAGAUCCAUCAGAUGUCUUUCAGAAUGUGAGCCUGAAUUGCUGACAAGUGGAAGAACAUGAGCUACAGCAGGACUUUGAGGAACCUGGGUUGCCCUGAAGAAAGAAAAAAAGAAAAAGAAGAAGAAAGAAAGAAAGAAAGACUUUCUAUAAAAGGAAUCUAAGUUUUUGCACCAGUGAAAACCCAGAUAUGAAACCUGGAUUAAAUUGUGCAAUCAUAAGCUUGUUUCUGUGAAUAUAUUUCCCCCUACUUCCCUUACGCAGGACUAGAAUCUCUUGAUGUUACUUCAGUCCCAAGAGCAUGGAACUGCGGUGCUGGAAAGUGCUGUAAUGAAAUCUAACCUCCUGAUGGCAUUGCUCUUAGCCUCCUUGACACAGUCAAAAUCCUUUACCACAUUAAGGUAUGUAUUCCAAUAAUUUACCAACAAUUUUUUCUUUGGAUCACAUUAGAACUGGCACAGGAGCUCUUAGGAGGAGUUCUGGUGAUUUUGGCUUAAAAGCCUCAACUAUUAACUAGACAAGCUGCUGGAACAAUAUACCAGCUCUGGAUCCCAGAUACCUUGUUUAUGCCUCCUUAUUUCUCAUUUGGCUAGAACUCCUGCAAAUAGCAACCAAUUGCUGUUGUCUAUAUCUUCCAGUUGAAUCCACUUGUAUUACUAUAGUCUAAAUCAGUGGUUCUUAACCUUUGUUACUCAGGUGUUUUUGAAGUGCAUCUCCCAGAAACCCCAGCCAGCAGAGCUGAUGGUGAAGACUUCUGGGAGUUGCAGUCCAAAAACAUCUGAGUAACAAAGGUUAAGA
RNAcentral lists this long non-coding RNA (1215 nucleotides) under Pogona vitticeps (central bearded dragon). Its description in RNAcentral is "lncRNA (ENSPVIG00000021161.1)". The record is from RNAcentral. Lineage: Eukaryota; Metazoa; Chordata; Lepidosauria; Squamata; Agamidae.